CCCUUAGAUGUUCUGGGCCGCACGCGCGCUACACUGAUGCAUUCAACGAGCCUAUCCUUGACCGACAGGUCCGGGUAAUCUUUGAAUCUGCAUCGUGACGGGGAUAGAUUAUUGCAAUUAUUAAUCUUCAACGAGGAAUGCCUAGUAGGCGCAAGUCAUCAGCUUGCGUCGAUUACGUCCCUGCCCUUUGUACACACCGCCCGUCGCUCCUACCGAUUGGGUGCGCUGGUGAAAUGUUCGGAUCGGCCGUUUGUCGCGGUUUCCGCGUCAUGUGGCUGAGAAGUUCAUUAAACCCUCCCACCUAGAGGAAGGAGAAGUCGUAACA
This 325-nucleotide ribosomal RNA is filed under the name uncultured eukaryote. RNAcentral describes it as "partial 18S ribosomal RNA". It matches the Rfam family "Eukaryotic small subunit ribosomal RNA", at positions 1470 to 1796 of the family's 1831-position model. The record is from RNAcentral.